UACAGAGGUGGCAAGCGUUGUUCGGAAUUACUGGGCGUAAAGGGCGCGUAGGCGGCCUUCUAAGUCAGACGUGAAAUCCCCCGGCUUAACCUGGGAACUGCGUCUGAUACUGGGAGGCUUGAGUAUGGGAGAGGGAUGUAGAAUUCCAGGUGUAGCGGUGAAAUGCGUAGAUAUCAGGAGGAACACCCGUGGCGAAAGCGGCUCUCUGGGACGGUACUGACGCUGAGACGCGAAAGCGUGGGGAGCAAACAGG
Molecule: ribosomal RNA, 253 nt
Filed under: uncultured bacterium
Lineage: Bacteria
Description: partial 16S ribosomal RNA
Rfam family: Bacterial small subunit ribosomal RNA
Source: RNAcentral